AUGGUAAGAACACCUUUCCUCUGGGUGGAUCUUUGGCUUGUUCUUGGCCUUACAGCUCUUCUGAUGUCUGUGGUGGAGUAUCCAUUGGCCUGUAGAGCCCAGUUUAGGUCCACCUUGGAGGAGGUGAGGUUCGCAGAUUCUUUGUGCAUGGUCUGUCAGGGCUUUGAUUGUGCUUCUUUUUUGACUUGGGUGAUGGUUGGAGUUUUUAUGAAGGUAUCUAUCUGUGUGUGUAGGUUGUGCUUAUUCAUCAGUUUGCCUAUGCAGUCAGUGGUUCCCUUGAUGUAUGGUAAGAACACCUUUCCUCUGGGUGGAUCUUUGUCUUGACUCUCAUGGCUUGUUCUUGGCCUUGCAGCUCUUCUGAUGUCUGUGGUGGAGUAUCCAUUGGCCUGUAGAGCCCAGUUUAGGUGGUUUAGUUCACCUUGAAGGAGGUGAGGUUCGCAGAUUCUUUGUGCACGGUCUGUCAGGGCUUUGAUUGUGCUCCUUCAUUAUACCCUAAGAAAAAUCACACAGUUUUUUAAAAGAAAAACUUUCUUACAGUCCUUUCCUGAAUUGUCUUGGUUCUAAAUGUCUGUCUGAAUAAUAAAAGAAAAUCCUAAACUGGUGACAGAAGGAUAACCAAGAGGGGAGCAUUCCAGCUUUCCUACUGCAAAUUUAUUUCAAGGUCUUGGAGCUGCAAGCAAGAAGGCUUGAUCUUGUGUUCCCACCAUCAGUGGGAACAGGUGCUGGGGCUAAAAGAAGAGCCCAUCUUGCCAUAUUCUGGGUAUGGGCAGGUUCAUAAAGGGGACAGUGAAAAACAACUCAUAUAAUCAAUACAUCACAUUAUGAAAGUCUUUUUCCCCUGAGAAGUCAGCCACCAAAGGCAUGCCGAACAAAAUGAAAAUAUUCACCUAUUGUGAUGUCUUACUGGGUUCCUAUCCCCUGCUUAUUUCCUGCUUUGCUGUUCUCGGGUGGAAUGUUCCGUUGGCUCCUGUUUUGGGGGUGGAGCUUGGGACUCCCCUGUAGGUUUGGAUGAGAUGGUUCAGCCUGUGAGCUAGGCUCCAGAGGCUUUUUCCCCUCCUUUGGCAUUCCUGAGUAAAACCUCUUAGAGAUGGGUCUUAAGAUUUGGUCUGGGUUCUUUGACCUGGCAAAUUCAAACAGGCAACAUAAAUCACGUACUUACCUCAUAGCCUUGUACAUACCCUAUAGUCCUUACCUUAUAGUACACCUCAUAGUCAUUACAGUCAUUAUAGAUAGUGCUUAUCAUAGCCUUGUAUUUACCUCACGUAUUUACCUCACAUACUUACCUGAUAGUGAAGUACUUACCUCAUAGCCUCGUACUUACCAUAUAGUUAUUAUACCUCAUAGUUUACCUCAUAGCUUAUGUACUUUCCUUAUAGUUCACCUUAUAGUCAUUAUAGUCAUUAUAGAUAGUGCUUAUCAUAGCCUUGUACUUACCUCAAAGAUAGCAAAGCUUAUAGUUUACCUCAUAUUAUUUCUAAUACAGUAAAAGGACUGUUUUUUUAACCUCCAUAUUCCUCAUUACUCUUUAUAACUACAGUCAUACUUUCAAAAGUAUUUUACACUCCUAAUUUCCUCCUUUGCUGUGACUUCAGGACCACACACAUUAAUAUUAUUCACAAGGGUAUCUUUUAACACUUCCAAGCUUCCAUUGCUACAGAUACCACAAUGUUUCAAUUCUGAUAAACAUUUUGCCCAGUGGAAUGCAGCUCCGAUGUUUCGUUUUCAGUACCUGUUUAACAAAAGGAUCUCCUAUAAAUACAGAGAAAUGUGUGUCCUUUGGAUCACUGGAAUUAUGUAAAGAUAGCCUUUCUUCAGUGUUAGAUGUUACAAAACCCAUGUUCAGCAGAACUAUAUUAUACAUACCCACACUCAAUUUUCAAAGGCAUCAAAGAAGUACUAUACAUUCUCUUCAUAGAAGGGGGCCAGUGGGAAAAAAUAUCCCUAGUACACAGCUGAGACUGUAAAAAUGAGAGAUUUAUGUUGUGCCAAUAGAAAAAAUAUGAAUAAUAUUAGCAUUGCCAUUUUUUACUGAGAAGUAGUUCUCCCCUCUCCAAAGAUGCACAGACCAUUUCUAUAAAAGCAAUAUCUUUGUUCUUUGUGGCCAGUAGCCUAUAUCUAUUAGCUGCAUUUACACUCUGAACCUUGUGAUAAGCUCUGCUCAUUCUGUUCAGCCAUGACAAAUAAUAUAGUGUUUUCUACCAUGUUCUACAAAUCCGUAACCUAAUCUCCCUAUGGCAAUGAACCCACAUCCUCCCAGCAUGGGUGUUCUUUUGUCUAUGUGCAAGCAAUGUGGAAGGCAAACAGGAAGUCAAAUUGGAAUUCAUUAGAUAAAUAAAAAGGAACCCACUGACACUGAAUAGAGCAGUCAGUUGUGAACUAAAAUAACAUAUAGCUUUAUUUCUGCUUGGUGCUACCUAAAGCAGAAAACUGUUUUUUGUUGCUCUUCUGUGAAGCCAAUAAUAAUAUAAAGUAGCAGUGGGAAACAGGAGUCAGAGGUGUUAAGGGAGAAAAUAGCAGGAAAUAGGAGUAUAUGAGUUGGUGCAAGCAAUUCUGAUAACUGGGUGCACUUUCCAUUCAUGUGGUUUUAAAAUGUGUCUCCUCAGUGGUCAAAGUAAAUAGAAAUUGCUUUAAACUCUUUGUGAUUUCCAAUUUGGAAUAAGGCAAUAAAAAGGGAAAAUAGCAACAAAAACUGCAGAAGAGUUUGCUGUGGAUAUAAAAAAUAGGCUACAUAAGUAAGCUAAACUUUCACAAUUAAUUCUUAUAGUACUAUGUUCCACUUUAACUGACAUAGCAACUUCCCAUUUAAUCCUGAAAUUUGUAAUUUUGGGAGAAGCAUUUAGACUUAUCAGUCAGAGAGUUCCUGGGCCUGACUAAAUGACAGAACCCAGUAUUUCACAGGAUGUUGCCAUGGUAGCUAAGGUGAAAUAUAAUACUAUAACAGCAUAGUGUGAUGUCUUUGUAAGAUAUCAACACAUCUACCAAAGAUUUGCUCCCUGUGCUUUUGUGAUCUACAGGGUGAUGUCUUGUCUGAAAUGCUAUUCACAUAAAACUUUGGAGAGAAAUCAUUUGUUGACUUGGAGCAAAGUAUCAACAGUAUCUUGACAUUUUAAGCAAGAGCAGGAAUCAUACAGCUCUCUGUGUAUUGUUGGAGUGCAACUCCAGUAUUCCUCACCAGGAAUCCUUUACCAGGAUAAAGAUCAAUAAACUGAUCUUUAAUCCUAGCAAGAUGGUGAACCAGUUGAAGAAUAGUUUCCAUGAAGCAUCUAGAACAGACUUCAUACAUGUUCUAGAUGAGAUGCCAUCCUCUACCCCUACUCUUGAACAAAAAAAAACACCUAUAAACAAAAACUAGAACCCUAUCUAGAAGAAUUUUCCCUUUGUCUUACUUGGGUUAUUUUCUUCUGUACCAGCUAAUAAAGUUAUCCAAGCUUUUGAUAUUGUAAUUUAGACCCAGUUAAAAGUGUUUUAAAAUUUAUGCACAUGGUUAUUACAAUGCUAUAUAAAACUUUUUACACAGUGCAGUUUGAAACUUAGAAAAUUCUUGAAUUCUUAAUGUUUUGUCACUCAAAAACCAAAUAGAAGCAUGAACUCCAUUAACACAGACAGCUACCAAAAUAUCCAAAAAAAAUAGAUACAAAAUAGUGUUAAAUGAUUGCAUGACAAAUAAAGCUUGCUGAUUUUCAAGAUUCCACAAGGCUCUGUUGUUUUACUUUUACAGAAAGAGACAGAUAUCCCCUGAGCCUCAAAUCAUUCUAACAUCAACCCUGAGACACUAACAGAAUACCUACUCUGACAGCAACAUUUUCAACCCAGGAAGAAUGUCACCUCAGCUAUCUAGACUAUCUGUUUCACUUUCCACUUUGAUGGCAGUGACAUCGUCUCCUCUUUCCGUAUCAUCUUCUGCCCUGUUUGACACCAAUGGAUGUCCCAUGGAUCUGUGCACUUCCCCCCUCCUCUGGAGACCACAUAUUUCAUGUACUGGCCACACUAAACUGAGACUACUAAAACCUAUACACAAUCAGGCAAGCAGAUGCUGAAAGCAGCUAGCAGACUUUGUAUUUGGUAAAAAGAACAACCCUCAUGCCACCCCAAAGGAACCCCACUCCUGGAAGUCCAUGUAGGAGGAAAGGCAGCUGUGCCAAAUAGAAUCAGGGCCUCGGUUUUGCAAAGACCAGCAAAGUCCAUUGAUGGAGAAGUCAAGGUCCAAGGCAGCAUAAAACAAAACGUUGAGCCUUCAAAACCAUACUUUAAAGUGGAUACUGAAGACUUCAAAACAGCUAAAGAUUUUCUGUAUCAUGGCUCACUCAUUCAUCAGAAAGGAAACGGUUGUCAAAAAAACAGAAGACAGUUUGGAUGGGCAACUAUGAAAGAAAUAGAUAAGGUCUUCAAGUGUAACGAUAUAUAACUGAAUACGAAAGUCAAAAUUGUCCAUGCCAUACCAUUGUCAAUUUCUAUGCAUGGUAUAAAAACUGGAUAGUGAGAAAAAUGGAAGUCUGGGACUGUAGGAGAGUUCUAUAGAUGCCAUUGAAUGAAGGAUCCCCCCACUCCAAAAAAUGAGUCCAAGAGCAAACCAAACCUGACCUCUUUUUAUUUGAGGCUAUGACCUUUUUGACAUAUGAUGAAACAACUCAUAAGUCAUCAGGAAAGAAAAUAAUACCAGGAAAAGUAGAAGUCAUUAUGAAAAGUGGGAGACCUUAUUAUAGGUAGAUUGACUCAAACAUGGAAGCCAUGGCUCCAAGAUUGUAAAAGCUGAGCAGGAGUGUUAAGAACAGGAACCCCAUGGGAUUUCACAUUCAUUAGGUCAAAGAAAACUUGAUAGUAAUAAACAAGAAAGCCACUUUUCAUCAUAGACUGGGAAAAUGAAAGAUAUAAAUAUAAUCACCAUCAUCCUUGAAAAUAUCACAAUUCAGCUUCAUUUAUUUUAGAUAUAUAUGUGUGUGACAGAAAUAGAGGGGGGGGUGACCUGUUUCCUAUUCAGAUCCUAUUCAAGUGGG
Molecule: long non-coding RNA, 4994 nt
Filed under: Anolis carolinensis (green anole)
Lineage: Eukaryota; Metazoa; Chordata; Lepidosauria; Squamata; Anolidae
Description: lncRNA (ENSACAG00000037533.1)
Source: RNAcentral